RNAcentral lists this ribosomal RNA (1569 nucleotides) under Triticum aestivum (bread wheat). RNAcentral's name for it is "partial small subunit ribosomal RNA". Lineage: Eukaryota; Viridiplantae; Streptophyta; Magnoliopsida; Poales; Poaceae. The record is from RNAcentral.
AUGAAUCCAAAAUUCGAGGUCAUAAAAGUGGUCCUCCUGAAAAGUUACGAUGGCUUACCCUAUUACCUCAAGUCUUGUUUUCUGUACCUGUCCAUCUUCCCUGAAGAUCUCAAUGUUAGCCGGAGACGUUUGGUGUGCCGAUGGAUCGCAGAAGGUUACUCGUGGGAUAGAUCGGUAGCCGAUAGAUACUUCACAGAACUCAUUGAGAGAAGCAUGAUUUUACCAACUAAACAGUCAAUUCUUAGCAGGAAAGGAUUCGAUUCGUGCCAGCUACAUGAUCUAAUCCGUGAUCUCAGCAUUGCAAAGUCAAUGGAGGAAAAUCUUGUCUUUAGGUUGGAGGAAGGAUGUAACUCAAAUGCUCGAGGCACAGUGCGUCACCUUUCCAUAAGCAGCAAUUGGGAGGGAGAUGAGCAUGAGUUGGAGAACACUGUGGAGUUGUCCCAUAUACGUUCAUUGACGGUAUUUGGCAAUUGGAGGCCAUUUUACAUAUCUGACAAGAUGAGGUUGCUUCGGGUGCUGGACUUAGAAUCAAGGGAAGGUCUAGCUGAUCAUCGCCUUGAGCACAUUGGAAAUCAUAUCCAUCUGAGAUACCUUUCUCUAAGACGUUGUGAAGGCAUCUUUUACCUCCCAGAUUCGGUGGGUAACCUGAGACAACUUGAGACACUAGAUAUCAAAUUUACAGGGAUAUUUAUGCUUCCCAAAAGUAUCACCAAGCUUAGUAAGCUACGUUUUCUGCAUGCUGGAAAUGUAGAAGGUUAUCCAGAAGAAUCGUCGGCACUAUCAUGUUGCAUACAUACCCCCAUGCACUUUAGUUGGCGACGUGGUGCAUGUGCUCCUUACAUGUGGUACAUGUUGGGUGAUGUACAAGCUUUUUCUCUGAAGGUGCCAAGAGGGAUAGGGAAACUGAAAACCCUGCAGGCGCUGGGGUGCUUGGACCUUGAAAGGGGAAAUGCCGUCAUAAAGGAGAUAAAAGGUCUCACAAGCCUACGCAAGUUAGGAGUACAGUUUGGCAUCACCACAGAAAAUGUGUCGGAAUUCUGUUCGGCCAUUUCCUGUCUGAGACACCUCGAGUCCUUGUCACUGCAGUCACGAGGAGAAAAUUUGUAUGAUUACUUGCAGGGAAUGUCCUCGCCUACGGAAAACCUCCAGAGCCUCAAGCUAUGCGGUUACGUGAAACAACUGCCGGAAUGGGUCAAAGGGCACCGGAAUCUCGUAAAGCUCAAACUACAAUACACCAAUUUGUCAAGCAACUGUGAAACCAUGCAUGUGCUUGGGAACCUACCAAACCUAUCCAUUCUGCUUUUGGAGGAUGAAGCAUUCCAGAUGGAAGGGCCUAUCACUUUCCAGAGUGGCCUUUUCAGAAGCCUCAUGGUACUCGAGUUGUAUUACAUGUCAAUGGAAAUUGUGUCACUAAAGUUUGAGGAAGCAUCAAUGCCAAAACUUGAGGUGCUGAGGCUGGAACUUAUGAAUUGUACAGCUGGCUUGGUUGGGCUGGAAUUUCUCCCAAGCAUCAAGGAAGUGCGGCUCUUUAUCGGUAUUUACCUAGAUGGUAGUAUAACAGAAGAAUAG